RNAcentral lists this unclassified non-coding RNA (21 nucleotides) under Chlamydomonas reinhardtii. RNAcentral describes it as "small RNA Cre_0577". The record is from RNAcentral. Lineage: Eukaryota; Viridiplantae; Chlorophyta; Chlorophyceae; Chlamydomonadales; Chlamydomonadaceae.
AGGGGCUGGCGGUUGCGGCGG